Molecule: ribosomal RNA, 254 nt
Filed under: uncultured bacterium
Lineage: Bacteria
Description: partial 16S ribosomal RNA
Rfam family: Bacterial small subunit ribosomal RNA
Source: RNAcentral
UACGGGGGGGCAAGGCAGUUGUUCGGAAUUACUGGGCGUAAAGGGCUCGUAGGCGGCCAACUAAGUCAGACGUGAAAUCCCUCGGCUUAACUGGGGAGGGUCAUUCGAUACUGAUCGACUCGAAGGCAGGAGAGGGAAGUGGAAUUCCCGGUGUAGUGGUGAAAUGCGUAGAUAUCGGGAGGAACACCAGUGGCGAAGGCGACUUCCUGGCCUGUUCUUGACGCUGAGGCGCGAAAGCUAGGGGAGCAAACGGG